Molecule: long non-coding RNA, 3840 nt
Organism: Mustela putorius furo (domestic ferret)
Lineage: Eukaryota; Metazoa; Chordata; Mammalia; Carnivora; Mustelidae
Source: Ensembl
GGUGUAGAAAGAUAUAUAAAGAGAUAGAGAUGUGAAAUGGAAUAUUUUCAUUGUCUCAAAAUAUCUCACUCCAAAAUACUGGCUGAUUGCUAAAAGAGAAAGGAGUAAGAUACCACAAUAACCAAAGGAUCCAAGUUAAUCUCACUAGUAAAAGGGCAAAUAGAAAUUAGGUACCACCUGAUAGGAUGCAGGGAGAAGGACACAGCAUCACCUCUGUGAUAUCCUUGCCAAACUCACUGAUCUUGAGGAAUAUUUUAUAAAAUUACCACCCUGUAAUCCUUAAAGGUGCCACGGACAUGAGAGUCAAGUAGAGGUUGAGAAAUUGUUCCAGAUCAAAGGAGACCAAAGCAACAUGCUGCCCAAACGCAAUUCAUGAUUCUAUUAGGCGAUGCUGUCAAGGCAACUGGGGACAUGAAUGCUCUUGGCAGAUGGGCCGAUAGGAAGGAAUUCGAUAAUGGAGGAACCCAACCAAGUAGAACGGGUUGCACAUCAGCUUGACUUGAUAGUUCAUGUGGCAAGGAUGAACAGAUGCUUCUCAGAGCCAGCAAAACAGCAACUGGGUAAAUAUAGGAGGAUGACGCAUCAAGCCCCGCGUGGACGUGCCCCCACGAGCGCGCAUGCACAGACAAGCCUGCAAGCCGUGCACCACCACGUGGCCCUCAGCCUCCAGGAACUGAUGCUCAGGCUCCUCCAGCCAGAAACUCCUAAUGGAACGGGGCGUCCUCCAAGAAGCCUGGGAGGGGGCCGCGAGGGCGGUCGUGCCCUCAGCUCCUUGGAGCAUCGUCAGCGGUCGCCCUCUGUCGUCCCUGGCUAUAUAUAGACCUGCUGCCUGCAGCGCACCUCCUGUCUUUGUGAAUGAAAUCCCGAACGUCCUUCCCGGCUCUGUCAGAGCAGCAGGGGCGUUUGAAAGUUUUUGAAAAUGAGUGGGGGAAAUAGAGCAGGUGUUUUGUUUUGCUCAUUGUGAAAGGCAGACACCGAUUUGGAAGGUUUCAAGGUAGGGAACGUGAGCCAAACUGAGGACAGCCAAUUUUUUUUAAAUUACCAGCACAAUUAGCAGCCUGGCUCAACAACAAACCUGUUUUGUCAAGCUCUGUUUCAGGAUUAGGGCGUUGCGGCAAUAGUACCAAACAGGUGAACGGAGCAGUGAUUAUAUCCCACUCUUGAAAAUCAGUGUUCUGCCUCUUGAAAAUCAGUGUUCUGCCUCCUGGGAGGCCACCAGCAAGCCUCUGACUCCCUCUUUCUGGCCCUGACUGAAUUGGCAUAAGGGCAGGGAUCAGGUCUCUAUAAGGCCAUCUGCUCUGUGGUGGAUCAGUCCAUGUUAAAUGAACUAUAUUAAAUGAAUGUGUUGUACAUCAACAUUAGCUUCUUGGGGUAAAACAAAACAGAGUCUCUCUGUCUUCUUAUCAUCCCUAGUUGUGACCACGAUUUGAAAUUUUGAACUGUUUAAUGGAAAGGCAUAUGACUCUAAAGGUUACUCAGUAAUAUCUUCUUGGGGACAGGAUUUCUGUGGGAGACCCACUAAGAGCAUCCAUUAGGCCUUAGAAUGCUUUGGUGUGAGCCUCCUUGGUAAAACUUGAGUGUGCUUUGCUCUGUUACUCAAAUCAGGCCCAAGAGACUCAGACAAGUCAAGAAUGCUCCACUGAGGUGUGCGAGGUCUCCAAGGAACAGUAGAGGCCCAGAAAUGACCUCAGAGGACCUUUGUAAGGAACCAGAGACUAGAGAAUUCUGGGCCAUCAGACUUUACCUCUGGAAUUGAGUCAGAGGAGCAGAAAUCAUAGACUGGUCAGUUCCUGCUCAGCCUUCACUGAACCUCAACCUCUCUCAUUGGGCCAGAGUUUGGCUGAGUCUUCUCCAGAGCUAACCUUAGGGCAGUCAUGGUGGAAGGAGUCUCAGACCCCUCAAGAGAGACCUCAGCAACUCCCCAGCUAAGCUGUGAUCCUGAUUUCAGCUCUUCUAUUAUAGGACGGGUGGUGGACCGAGUAUUGUUAAUUGCAGAGUCCCUAAGAAGAUCAUGUCCCAAAAUAUUGCCUCACGGGAUGUUUGAUUCCACCAGUUUGAAUCCGUUUGAGAGGCAUUGCUUUCCUUUAAGGGUUGUCUGCAAAUGUAUUGAUCAUCAAGGGAAUAGCUAUCGUUCCCUACCCUUCCACUACUGAUAUCUACAAAUGUACAAACUUCCUUGCCUAUGUUUCCUUACCAACUGGCUUCCAGUUAGGUUAGGCCAAAGGGAGGCCUCAGCAGGAAGUCGGAGGGCAGGCGAAGGGGUGAAGUGGUGGUAUUUCCACCCCUCUCUUGGGCUCAGGUGCUGUCUUCCAUGGUGUCCGUGAUUCCUGUGCGGUCCCAGCUCCUAUCCGGCAGUUUGACCAUGGCUCCAUGUCCUCCAGGAAGUUCCAGGCUCUUCUCCCUUGGUGUCUCCAGCUCUAGCUGUUGCUGAUUGCUGCCUCGGCAGCUACUGUUGGCUCCUCUCUUCUUCCAGCCCAUUUGUGGCUAGUUCCCCUAUUAAUUCCCUUUAGUGAACUACCUGACUUGGGCUCUGUUUUCUUGUCUUGACUCUGACUUAUUAUGAGGGUUAGCAUAUAAACAUCUUCUAAGUAAGUAAUGAUUUUUUUUUUCCUACAAUAGCAGGGAAGUCCUAGGGAGCUCAAAAGAGAAGGGCUCAAAGUGGAAAAAGGGUGAAGACAUUUCCCCAGGUCUUCUCUACCCUAUCUAAGCCCCCUCUGACCAUGCUGUGGGGAAAGCCACAACCUAGCAGCCCCCUUCCACCAGCCUGACUUGUUACUCUCAGAUUUUCACACCAUAGAGUUUCUGCCCCAGCUGAGAUCUGUUUGCUGACACCUGUGAUUCAUGAGCUCCCAGCUAAACACUCUGGCCCAUCCAUCCUCCUCGCCUAGAAGAACAUCUCUCUUCCUCACCUCUCCAUCUCUUUGGCUCUUUCUUCUUUGCAAUCCUGCUGAAAGCCUGAGGUCUGAGCACUCUGUCACUGUUCCGCGCCCCACCACAAGUUAUUUAUGCACACUGAGCUCUAAUGCUCUUGUGUUCUUCUGUUUAUUUCUGUCAGACAUCUUGUCAUUUUAAUUACACGUGUUUUCCUAUUUGGCCAAAGGAAUUUUAAGGUCUGUGCCACUACAAGACCAGGUCUACUGUGUCUUCUGCUGCCUGUUCCUACCCUUCCCUCAGCUUCGCCAGUCGCCGGCAAUUAUAAUAUUUAGCAUUGCUCUAGUGUGUUCAACAAAUAUUGAUAUGUCUCCUAAACAAAUUCCCUCAGCUACGAAGACAGGCUUAUAUCUGUUUGUCAGGACAACAUGCUUUUUGGGGGAGCGGCACUGGCCAGGAGAACUUCAGAACUGUUCUCUCUUUGACAGACCAUUCCCAGUAGAAUCCAGUCUCCAGGCAUGAGGUUUGCUCAGUCAUUAUUUUUAUUUCUCCCUGGGCCUUGCGUGUUUAAACUACAUUUGGAAUGCGGUUGUUUUCCCCCCAGCCCAAACCUCCUGAAGGGGAUUCUUGCUGAUGGCAUCUGUGGCAGAGACGAGCUCAUGCCUGAAGGGAUAAAUUAUUUAUGGUGAAUGGUGCCCUAAUGGAUUGUGUGAUCGAUAAUGCUUAUAAUAGUACAGCAGCAGACAGAUCACAGAAGGGCUAGAACACGCAUCUACAUCAUUCGGAGGAGAUGGGGUCCGCCAGACAGCAAGAAGAAAAAGGGGGUGUUCAUGACGUCAACCUCAAAACAGUGCUGGAUGAGGAGAAAAGAACAGCAUUCUUUUUUCUUUUUUUUUUAAUUUAAAGGGACAGAUCAGCUUUUAAUCAUGGGAUCACUGUACCAAAAUGCCCCACCAGUAUCCACUUACC